GACGAACGCUGGCGGCGUGCUUAACACAUGCAAGUCGAACGGAAAGGCCCUGCUUUUGUGGGGUGCUCGAGUGGCGAACGGGUGAGUAACACGUGAGUAACCUGCCCUUGACUUUGGGAUAACUUCAGGAAACUGGGGCUAAUACCGGAUAGGAGCUCCUGCUGCAUGGGGUGGGUUGGUAAGUUUCGGCGGUUGGGGAUGGACUCGAUGCUUAUCAGCUUGUUGGUGUGGUAGUGGCUUACCAGGGGUUUGACGGAUAGCCGGCCUGAGAGGGGUACCGGCCACAUUGGGACUACGAUAGGGACCAGACGGCAACGGGACGCAGCAGUGGGGAAUAUUGCAGAAUGGGCGGAAGUCUGAUGCGGAGGCGCCGGGUGCGGGAUGACGGCCUUCGGGUUGUAAACCGCUUUCGACUGAGACGAAGCGUGAGUGACGGUAAUGGGUAAAGAAGCACCGGCUAACUACGUG
RNAcentral lists this ribosomal RNA (468 nucleotides) under uncultured bacterium. RNAcentral describes it as "partial 16S ribosomal RNA". It matches the Rfam family "Bacterial small subunit ribosomal RNA", at positions 28 to 507 of the family's 1533-position model. The record is from RNAcentral.